GGAGGGUUCGCAUAGCGGUCUAGUGCACGUUGUUGGAAACGACGCGUGGGGAAACCCACCAGGAGUUCGAAUCUCCUACCCUCCG
Molecule: transfer RNA, 85 nt
Filed under: bacterium
Lineage: Bacteria
Description: tRNA-Ser
Rfam family: tRNA
About the family: Transfer RNA (tRNA) molecules are approximately 80 nucleotides in length. Their secondary structure includes four short double-helical elements and three loops (D, anti-codon, and T loops).
Source: RNAcentral